Molecule: unclassified non-coding RNA, 1312 nt
Filed under: Hevea brasiliensis (rubber tree)
Lineage: Eukaryota; Viridiplantae; Streptophyta; Magnoliopsida; Malpighiales; Euphorbiaceae
Source: RNAcentral
GCAAAGCCAGGCCAUAGAAAAUGCAAUGAAUGGAUCUCUGGAGCUCUUGGAUAUAUGUGAUACCACAAGAGAUUUAUUUUCACAGAUGAAGGAAUGUUUGCAACAACUUGAACUAUCUCUGCGUAGAAGUAAAGGCGGAGACUGCAGCUUGACAAGAGAAGUUGAUGCAUACAUGGUAUCUAGAAAGAAGUUGAACAAAGAAGUUUGCAAGUGUCUACGAAAUUUGAAGAAAAAGGAGAGGAAUUGUCCAAUGGCAGAUUUGGACAACAACUCCAAUUUGACAAACAUGAUUAGCAUGCUAAGAGGAGUUCAAGAAAUUGGCCUUGUGGUGUUUGAGUCGAUCUUAUCUUUUAUUUCUCAGCCAAAGGCAAAGUCAGCAUCCUCUAGCUGGUCUGUCAUCUCAAAAUUAUUGCAAUCCAAGCAUGUGUUAUGUGAAGUGGAAAUCAAAGCCAAUGAAGCAAGGAAGAUUGUUGCUGAAUUGCUUAUCCUGAAGUAAAGCAAAGACAUCAGUAUUUCACAACUUCAAAAUGUUCUAAAAGGAUUAGAAGCACUGGAGUCAAGCGUUCAAGAAGUAGAGGAGGAGCUGAAAUGUAUCUAGAGGCAAUUGGUGAAAACCAGAGUAUCCCUUCUCAACAUUCUGAAUCAUUAAUGUUGGUGUUUCCAUCAACAGUGAGUGUGCUUUCAGAGAGAAGGCAUAGCCCAUUUCAGGUAUAGCUAUCGGCUUGUUUCUCACACCCAUAAGCGUGAGUCGUUGUAAAGACUAUUCAUUCUGUAAUCUCCUUGGUGAAAUAAGAACUUCCUCGCUGAUGAUUGCUUCUUCUAUUCUCUCUAUGUUCUUUCUGUUGUUUCUUCUUGAAUCAUAACACUCACUCUCUCAGACUCAUUCCCUUUCAAUUCUCUCCCUCAUCCUCACUUCUUUUCCUCGGUCCUUCUGCUCACCGCUCGCCUCAACCAUCCACCACCUCUCUCGAUGAUAAAUUGCCUCAAAUCGCUCCACAUUCGCUCAUGCCCUAACCCCUUUUGCAAAGCCUCAAUUAUGUCUUUUGCAAUCAAACGGAACCCUCAAGCUCUUUGGGUGUAUUGCGGGCAUCAUUUUCUCUGCUUUCAUUUGCUCGAAUUGGUGAGAAACAGAAACAAAUUGGAUAGAACUUUUCGUGACAGUAAACAGAAACGAAUCGAGAUUUUUUUUCUAAGAUAUGGAAGGGCAAGCCUUACAGUGCGUACCCUUAUCCCUUAUUAGUUUAUCCCUUUCUAAAUGGGUAAUUUUAUCUACUUGGCUUUCGCCCUCAUCCAGACAGAAGUGCUACCUUAU